CCCCACCGCUGUCCAAGCCGCUCUUGGCGUCAUCGGGGAUCCCGGUCGCGCAUUGAAUCCAUCGCAAAGGAUCUCGAGGCUUGCCACCCCGCCCGGCGCACCCAUCUAGAGGCACAUGCUCUCCACGGAUCCAUUGGAUCCCUUGCCGCCUCUCCUCCUCUGUGCUUCGCUGGAGAAGCCUUGGCCUUGCCCUGGAUGCUAGAUUCUGCGAUUCCUCACCUGCAAUAUGGAUUAUGGAAGUGCAUCUGCACCUGGGGCGCUAGCUGCUGAUGGCCAGAGAUAACCGCGAUGUGUACAGGUCCGUACCUUGCAUCAAAUUCCAGCCCUUACGGCCACUCGGAGCGCUUUUCACUGUACAAACAGCAUGCAGAGAAGCUAAUGGAGUCUUGUUCAGGUUAUCACUGCUUUUGCUCCAGCAAGAAAGUACGACGAGUCUUGCGAAGGGUCCUCGAGGAAGCUCAAUAUAUAGAUGACUAUUCUCAGUGGAGAUGAUACCAGAGAUGUUAUUCUGAAGUAAGCUCCUGCACACCAUUCUUUUGUAGUUCCUUCAGAAGAAAUGAUUCCAUUCUUGUACUCGAUACUGUAGAGUGGUUGCUGCUCAUUCGUCUUAA
Triticum dicoccoides is the source of this 611-nucleotide long non-coding RNA. RefSeq lists it as uncharacterized. The transcript is spliced from 3 exons. Lineage: Eukaryota; Viridiplantae; Streptophyta; Magnoliopsida; Poales; Poaceae. The record is from RefSeq and is a predicted model, not a curated record.